This 1336-nucleotide ribosomal RNA is filed under the name Weissella hellenica. RNAcentral's name for it is "bacterial SSU rRNA". The stretch from base 338 to 1336 matches the Rfam family "Bacterial small subunit ribosomal RNA". The record is from RNAcentral. Lineage: Bacteria; Bacillati; Bacillota; Bacilli; Lactobacillales; Lactobacillaceae.
UCCAUAUAUCUACGCAUUUCACCGCUACACAUGGAGUUCCACUUUCCUCUACUGCACUCAAGUCAUCCAGUUUCCAAAGCAAUUCCUCAGUUGAGCUGAGGGCUUUCACUUCAGACUUAAAUAACCGUCUGCGCUCGCUUUACGCCCAAUAAAUCCGGAUAACGCUUGGAACAUACGUAUUACCGCGGCUGCUGGCACGUAUUUAGCCGUUCCUUUCUGGUAAGAUACCGUCACACACUGAACAGUUACUCUCAGUGCCGUUCCUCUCUUAUAACAGUGUUUUACGAGCCGAAACCCUUCAUCACACACGCGGCGUUGCUCCAUCAGGCUUGCGCCCAUUGUGGAAGAUUCCUUACUGCUGCCUCCCGUAGGAGUAUGGGCCGUGUCUCAGUCCCAUUGUGGCCGAUCAGUCUCUCAACUCGGCUAUGCAUCAUUGCCUUGGUAAGCCAUUACCUUACCAACUAGCUAAUGCACCGCGGGUCCAUCUCUUAGUGAUAGCAGAACCAUCUUUCAACCAACAACCAUGCGGUUGUUGGUAUUAUAACCAGUGGCGAAGGCGGCUUUCUGGACUGUAACUGACGUUGAGGCUCGAAAGUGUGGGUAGCAAACAGGAUUAGAUACCCUGGUAGUCCACACCGUAAACGAUGAGUGCUAGAUGUUCGAGGGUUUCCGCCCUUGAGUGUCGCAGCUAACGCAUUAAGCACUCCGCCUGGGGAGUACGACCGCAAGGUUGAAACUCAAAGGAAUUGACGGGGACCCGCACAAGCGGUGGAGCAUGUGGUUUAAUUCGAAGCAACGCGAAGAACCUUACCAGGUCUUGACAUCCCUUGACAACGCUAGAAAUAGCGCGUUCCCUUCGGGGACAAGGUGACAGGUGGUGCAUGGUUGUCGUCAGCUCGUGUCGUGAGAUGUUGGGUUAAGUCCCGCAACGAGCGCAACCCUUAUUAUUAGUUGCCAGCAUUCAGUUGGGCACUCUAGUGAGACUGCCGGUGAUAAACCGGAGGAAGGUGGGGAUGACGUCAAAUCAUCAUGCCCCUUAUGACCUGGGCUACACACGUGCUACAAUGGCAUAUACAACGAGUCGCUAACCCGCGAGGGUACGCUAAUCUCUUAAAGUAUGUCUCAGUUCGGAUUGUAGGCUGCAACUCGCCUACAUGAAGUCGGAAUCGCUAGUAAUCGCGGAUCAGAACGCCGCGGUGAAUACGUUCCCGGGUCUUGUACACACCGCCCGUCACACCAUGAGAGUUUGUAACACCCAAAGCCGGUGGGGUAACCUUUUAGGAGCCAGCCGUCUAAGGUGGGACAGAUGAUUAGGGUGAAGUCGUAACAAGGUAAC